GACGAACGCUGGCGGCGCGCCUAACACAUGCAAGUCGAACGGAGCUGAGAGAAGCUUGCUUUUCUUAGCUUAGUGGCGAACGGGUGAGUAACGCGUGAGUAACCUGCCCUGGAGUGGGGGACAACAGUUGGAAACGACUGCUAAUACCGCAUAAGCCCACGAUCCGGCAUCGGAUUGAGGGAAAAGGAUUUAUUCGCUUCAGGAUGGACUCGCGUCCAAUUAGCUAGUUGGUGAGGUAACGGCCCACCAAGGCGACGAUUGGUAGCCGGACUGAGAGGUUGCACGGCCACAUUGGGACUGAGACACGGCCCAGACUCCUACCGGAGGCAGCGGUAGGGGAUAGUGCACAAUGGGGGAAACUCAGAUGCAGCGACGCCGCGUGGAGGAAGAAGGUUUUCGGAUUGCAAACUCCUGUCGUUAGGGACGAUAAUGACGGUACCUAACAAAAAAGCACCGGCUAACUACGUG
RNAcentral lists this ribosomal RNA (468 nucleotides) under uncultured bacterium. Its description in RNAcentral is "partial 16S ribosomal RNA". It matches the Rfam family "Bacterial small subunit ribosomal RNA", at positions 28 to 507 of the family's 1533-position model. The record is from RNAcentral.